AUUUAUUAGAUAAAAAACCAACGCCCUUCGGGGCUCCUUGGUGAAUCAUAAUAACUUAACGAAUCGCAUGGCCUUGCGCCGGCGAUGGUUCAUUCAAAUUUCUGCCCUAUCAACUUUCGAUGGUAGGAUAGUGGCCUACCAUGGUGGCAACGGGUAACGGGGAAUUAGGGUUCGAUUCCGGAGAGGGAGCCUGAGAAACGGCUACCACAUCCAAGGAAGGCAGCAGGCGCGCAAAUUACCCAAUCCCGAUACGGGGAGGUAGUGACAAUAAAUACUGAUACGGGGCUCUUUUGGGUCUCGUAAUUGGAAUGAGAACAAUUUAAAUCCCUUAACGAGGAACAAUUGGAGGGCAAGUCUGGUGCCAGCAGCCGCGGUAAUUCCAGCUCCAAUAGCGUAUAUUAAAGUUGUUGCAGUUAAAAAGCUCGUAGUUGAACCUUGGGUCUGGCUGGCCGGUCCGCCUCACCGCGAGUACUGGUCCGGCUGGACCUUUCCUUCUGGGGAACCUCAUGGCCUUCACUGGCUGUGGGGGGAACCAGGACUUUUACUGUGAAAAAAUUAGAGUGUUCAAAGCAGGCCUUUGCUCGAAUACAUUAGCAUGGAAUAAUAGAAUAGGACGUGUGGUUCUAUUUUGUUGGUUUCUAGGACCGCCGUAAUGAUUAAUAGGGAUAGUCGGGGGCGUCAGUAUUCAGCUGUCAGAGGUGAAAUUCUUGGAUUUGCUGAAGACUAACUACUGCGAAAGCAUUCGCCAAGGAUGUUUUCAUUAAUCAGGGAACGAAAGUUAGGGGAUCGAAGACGAUCAGAUACCGUCGUAGUCUUAACCAUAAACUAUGCCGACUAGGGAUCGGACGGG
RNAcentral lists this ribosomal RNA (850 nucleotides) under uncultured fungus. Its description in RNAcentral is "SSU rRNA". It matches the Rfam family "Eukaryotic small subunit ribosomal RNA", at positions 203 to 1061 of the family's 1831-position model. The record is from RNAcentral. Lineage: Eukaryota; Fungi.